RNAcentral lists this ribosomal RNA (468 nucleotides) under uncultured bacterium. Its description in RNAcentral is "partial 16S ribosomal RNA". It matches the Rfam family "Bacterial small subunit ribosomal RNA", at positions 28 to 507 of the family's 1533-position model. The record is from RNAcentral.
GACGAACGCUGGCGGCGUGCUUAACACAUGCAAGUCGAACGGAAAGGCCCUGCUUUUGUGGGGUGCUCGGGUGGCGAACGGGUGAGUAACACGUGAGUAACCUGCCCUUGACUUUGGGAUAACUUCAGGUAACUGGGGCUACUACCGGAUAGGAGCUCCUGCUGCGUGGUGGGGGUUGGAAAGUUUCGGCGGUUGGGGAUGGACUCGCGGCUUAUCAGCUUGUUGGUGGGGUAGUGGCUGACCAAGGCUGUGACCGGUAGGCGGCCUGAGAGGGUGGACGGCGACCUGGGGACUGAGGGACGGCGCAGACUCCUACGGGAGGCAGUAGGGGGGAAUAUUGCACAAUGGGAGGAAGCCUGAUGCAGCAACGCCGCGUUCGUGAUGACGUCCUGUUGGGUGUAAACCGCUGUCGCCUGUGACGAAGCGGGAGUGACGGUAAUGGGUAAAGAAGCACCGGCUAACUACGUG